AGAGUUUGAUCAUGGCUCAGGACGAACGCUGGCGGCGCGCCUAACACAUGCAAGUCGAACGAGCGAGAGAGAGCUUGCUUUCUCGAGCGAGUGGCGAACGGGUGAGUAACGCGUGAGGAACCUGCCUCAAAGAGGGGGACAACAGUUGGAAACGACUGCUAAUACCGCAUAAGCCCACGGGUCGGCAUCGACCAGAGGGAAAAGGAGCAAUCCGCUUUGAGAUGGCCUCGCGUCCGAUUAGCUAGUUGGUGAGGUAACGGCCCACCAAGGCGACGAUCGGUAGCCGGACUGAGAGGUUGAACGGCCACAUUGGGACUGAGACACGGCCCAGACUCCUACGGGAGGCAGCAGUGGGGAAUAUUGCACAAUGGGGGAAACCCUGAUGCAGCGACGCCGCGUGGAGGAAGAAGGUCUUCGGAUUGUAAACUCCUGUUGUUGAGGAAGAUAAUGACGGUACUCAACAAGGAAGUGACGGCUAACUACGUGCCAGCAGCCGCGGUAAAAUGUAGGUCACAAGCGUUGUCCGGAAUUACUGGGUGUAGAGGGAGCGCAGGCGGGAAGACAAGUUGGAAGUGAAAUCCAUGGGCUUAACCCAUGAACUGCUUUCAAAACUGUUUUUCUUGAGUAGUGCAGAGGUAGGCGGAAUUCCCGGUGUAGCGGUGGAAUGCGUAGAUAUCGGGAGGAACACCAGUGGCGAAGGCGGCCUACUGGGCACCAACUGACGCUGAGGCUCGAAAGUGUGGGUAGCAAACAGGAUUAGAUACCCUGGUAGUCCACACCGUAAACGAUGAUUACUAGGUGUUGGAGGAUUGACCCCUUCAGUGCCGCAGUUAACACAAUAAGUAAUCCACCUGGGGAGUACGACCGCAAGGUUGAAACUCAAAGGAAUUGACGGGGGCCCGCACAAGCAGUGGAGUAUGUGGUUUAAUUCGAUGAUACGCGAGGAACCUUACCCGGGCUUGAACUGUAGGCGAACGAUUCAGAGAUGAAGAGGCCCUUCGGGGCGCCUAUGGAGGUGCUGCAUGGUUGUCGUCAGCUCGUGCCGUGAGGUGUCGGCUUAAGUGCCAUAACGAGCGCAACCCUUGUUCGUAGUUGCCAUCGGUUAAAGCCGGGCACUCUGCGAAGACUGCCUCCGUAAGGAGUGAGGAAGGUGGGGAUGACGUCAAAUCAGCACGGCCCUUACGUCCGGGGCUACACACGUGUUACAAUGGCAUGUACAGAAAGCUGGGUGUAUGCAAAUACGCUCGAAUCCCUAAAACAUGUCUCAGUUCGGACUGGGGUCUGCAACCCGACCCCACGAAGCUGGAUUCGCUAGUAAUCGCGCAUCAGCCAUGGCGCGGUGAAUACGUUCCCGGGCCUUGUACACACCGCCCGUCAAGCCAUGAAAGCCGGGGGCGCCUAAAGUCCGUGACCGCGAGGGUCGGCCUAGGGUGAAACCGGUGAUUGGGGCUAAGUCGUAACAAGGUA
Molecule: ribosomal RNA, 1467 nt
Filed under: metagenome
Description: bacterial SSU rRNA
Rfam family: Bacterial small subunit ribosomal RNA
Source: RNAcentral